UGCUUAUAGCCGCCUCCGCUUUCCUCGGUCAUGAGUGCGCGCCGUUCUGGUCGCUUUUGGCGACGUCAGCGAUCCUAUCACAGUCAAACGCGGCAGCUUCCCGCUCGGUGAACGUCGCGCCGCUAUUGGCGCAAACAGCAACUUUGCCUGUGAGUGCCUGCCACCGUCGAAUGGCAAUAUCGACGUAAAAUGGAUCGAUCUCGAUAAGAGCAGAACGGCGCUUUGUUUUCUCCGCUGCGAUAAGCGUGCUGCCUGAUCCACCGAAGAUAUCCAGCACGAUGUCACCGCGGGCGGAAGCGUCCCUAAUGAUAUCUGCUAUCAUUGCUA
Molecule: unclassified non-coding RNA, 327 nt
Filed under: Hevea brasiliensis (rubber tree)
Lineage: Eukaryota; Viridiplantae; Streptophyta; Magnoliopsida; Malpighiales; Euphorbiaceae
Source: RNAcentral